CCUCAGUGUCUCCUCUCCUUCGGGAGAACGGAAGGAUGCCUGCGGACUACGCUCUACUGCUACAUUCCAAAGGCCAGACCAUGACAGCUUGGCCUCUGCUGUAUCCCCAUGGAGGCACUCCAUUGCUAGCAAUUAAAUAAAUGAAAUUUC
Molecule: long non-coding RNA, 150 nt
Organism: Bubalus bubalis (water buffalo)
Lineage: Eukaryota; Metazoa; Chordata; Mammalia; Artiodactyla; Bovidae
Exons: 2
Source: RefSeq, a predicted model, not a curated record